AGGAAGGCAGCAGGCGCGCAAAUUACCCACUCCCGGCACGGGGAGGUAGUGACGAAAAAUAACGAUACGGGACUCAUCCGAGGCCCCGUAAUCGGAAUGAGUACACUCUAAACCCUUUAACGAGGAUCAAUUGGAGGGCAAGUCUGGUGCCAGCAGCCGCGGUAAUUCCAGCUCCAAUAGCGUAUAUUAAAGUUGUUGCGGUUAAAAAGCUCGUAGUCGAAUCUGUGUCCCGCGCCGCCGGUUCAUCGCUCGCGGUGUUAACUGGCGUGCCCGCGAGACGUCCUGCCGGUGGGUUUAGCUCGUUCGCGGGCGGCCCAACUUGAAAUCCCACCGCGGUGCUCUUGACUGAGUGUCGAGGUGGGCCGGCACAUUUACUUUGAACAAAUUAGAGUGCUUAAAGCAGGCUAAAACUUCGCCUGAAUAUUGUGUGCAUGGAAUAAUGGAAUAGGACCUCGGUUCUAUUUUGUUGGUUUUCGGAACACCGAGGUAAUGAUUAAUAGGGACGGAUGGGGGCAUUCGUAUUGCGACGUUAGAGGUGAAAUUCUUGGAUCGUCGCAAGACGGACAGAAGCGAAAGCAUUUGCCAAAAACGCUUUCAUUGAUCAAGAACGAAAGUUAGAGGUUCGAAGGCGAUCAGAUACCGCCCUAGUUCUAACCAUAAACGAUGCCAGCUAGCGAUCCGCCGACGUUCCUCCGAUGACUCGGCGGGCAGCUCCNNGGAAACCAAAGCNUUUGGGUUCC
Molecule: ribosomal RNA, 740 nt
Filed under: Hydrophilus sp. SLE0075
Lineage: Eukaryota; Metazoa; Arthropoda; Insecta; Coleoptera; Hydrophilidae
Also listed under: 1 other name
Description: SSU rRNA
Rfam family: Eukaryotic small subunit ribosomal RNA
Source: RNAcentral